CCACCCCCAGUGAGAAAUACCCCUCCCCCACCCCCUCCCACAAGGAACGCGGCCAGGACUUCAGGAAUAGUAAAUGAUGACUUUGAAUCCCGGUUUGAGUUCCACAAUAUCAAUGUGCUUCCACCUCCAGAGCCUUUCCAGAAAGUUACGCGUACCUAUCCUAGUAAAAACCCAAGGAAUCCUGCAAACAUGAGACAACAAGCUCCACCACCUCCUCCUCCUCGAUAGUAUCGAUCAUGUGGCUGUCAUGUGAAGAUCAUGUGACAUAGGACUUAAGUCUUGUGUGUUGGCGGUGAAAAACGAACUGAUGCUCAUAAUUCAAAAUGGAUGCACUGCAUAAAGAUAUUUUAUAUUGCUGGGAAACUAGCAAAGACAUGGGGUUUCAUGGGAAUAGGGAAUGUGGAAUCAGUCAAGUGGACAAAUUGAGACAAAAGCAGAAAACUAAGAAGAUAAUGAAGGAAAAAUUCAAUUAAAUAAAAUGGAUCAAAACAACUAGAUACAAGAUAUGUAGAAUGGUUUGGUUUAAAUGAAACUGAAACCAAAAUAUUGGAAAUUGAAGUAAGGCCAAUGAGUGUGAACAAAUACAGAGGAAACGAGGGAAUAGUACAUAUAUAAAUAUAUAUAUGUAAAAUGAAAGAACAUCUUAAGAUGCAGAAUUGAAUGAUUUAGUAUAACUGAAAAAAUGAGGCAGAUGAGGGACAUGAGGAGGAAAUUAUUUAUUUAAGAUAUAAUCACUCUUUUUAUGAUGACCAACUUUUUGUCAGUAUUGGAAGACUUGGGGUUGAAGGUAAAAUACUAAUAAUAAAUCUUUAGUAGAUAUGUGCGGAACAGGGCAACCCCUACUGUGUACGAAAGAAAUAUACAUGUUACACACCCAUGAAAAAUGCUUUUCAGCAGGUGAGUGUCAUCUUACUCCAAUACACUUGUGUGUAGAUGGCGCUUUCCCAAGACAGGCUUAAACUAACUUGCAACGACUGAAAUGGAAAAUUACACAGGCAAUUUAAUGUGAGCACAACAAUGUAUUGCCAUAGAUUGUGAUUUUGAUAUUUUGAGCAACUCCUGAUUCUGCUGAUUGUAAAUUAGUUUUCUUUUUUCGUAAGUGGCUUAUAUAGAAAUGGACAUAAUAAUGGAACAGUAUUUUCUGUGCCUCAGUCUUCCGUUGCUGCAAGACCUAUAAAAAACAAAUCAGAACAGCUUCUAAGUCUUAAGAUUUGUCAAGUCUACCAGUUUGUGUCAAUUUGAUAUUUAAAGGAGAAUUGCUGCAAAUUAAUAUUAACCUUUUAUCAAAGACAUUGACAAACACUUUUUUUUUUUUUUUUUUUACUCAGGACUUAAAUUUUGCUUGUUUGGGUGGGUCUUGGUGGCUUUGAAUAACUAUAGGUCAUGAACAGUGUCCAACAAAGUAGUUUGUUGUAUUAAUUUUCCAUUUUUUUCAAUAAAAACCUACCUGUAGUUGCUACAGUGUCCGUCACAGGUAUUCAAGGUUAUCAAAAUAUGUGCACUAAGUUUAUCACAUAGUGCAUACAGGGCACCUGAAAACAUAUUGAAAGAUUUGUCAGGAGUGCACAGACUUGGAAGCCUCUUGAUCGGUGUCAAGGUCAUCUGAGCUGUUGGAUUGCCUGACACACUACUAAAUUAAAUCAUGUCAUGGUGUAUUGCAUCAAUAUUAUUGUGUGUUCACACACAGGAUAAUCCAAAGUAAGACGGGCAGGUGUGAUAACUGUGAUCAUAAUGGAUGUAUAGAUAUCUUUUCAUGAACUUAGAUAAGAUUAAGUUCUCAACAAUUUAAUUAUGUUUCCCAAGUAAUGGUUAUAGAUAUAUUACAUGAUGAAUAAAUGUUUAAAUAAAUUGUAUACUGUACCAGAAGGUGUGUCAGGUCAUGUUUGGAGUUAUAGGUUUCUGCCGUCUAUAUAGGUAUAGGAGACGGUGACACACCUUGAGAUAUGGUCACUUAAAGGUGUAGGGCAAGAUUACUUCAGGACUGGCAAAGAUUUAAACUGUCUUGUUGAGCUGGAUAAAAAGACCUCAUCGAAAAAAUGAACUGACAGUAUACAAAUGUCAUCAAAAUCCACAUUCCUGGACCAAAUGUGCAUUAAUUGUAAGAAUGUAUAAACUUCCCUUUGUGGCACCUCACAUAAUUUAUAUGUAAUGUAAUAUAUAUAGAUUGGUAAAUGUGGAAGGGAUUGGAGCUCCUGAAAUCCUGAUUGGAUUCUUAUCAAAAUCUGGGUACAUGAUAUCAAGAUGCUCAGUAUUGAAAAUGGGGUUAGAACGAAAGGUGACUCUGCUACUUGCCAAAGCGCCAUUACUGCAUUGGUGUAAUUUUUUCCUUUACUGUUUGGAAGGUAUAUCUUGAAAUAUAUUUGUUGAAUUUAUAAAAAAACAGUACAAGUCCUAAAAUUCACUGAGAGAUUUGCAUACUCUCAAUGAGAGAAACAAGACUUAACCUCAUCUGUUCCUUGGGACACCAAUGAUGAGUUUUGUUGGGUAACAUUUUUCUUUCAAAAUGUUCUUUGUAUUACAGCAAGGGUUAGAUUAAUGGCAUUGUGAAAAAAAAAUAGAUGUAUUAUGAUAAGUUUUGGCAGAAGCGUCUGUUCUUGCCUUGAUGAAGUACAAAUUAGAAAAGAAAACAGUUGAAACAAAACUAUAUCAUAUGUGGCAGAAUAAUGCCUCGUUCAAUUUUGCUGCAAUUGUAUGAUUAUUUUCCCUAACAAAAUGGAUCUUGAAGACACUGUAUAUUAAGUGUCUGUUAGAUGGAGAGGACUUAAAUUGUUGAAAAUAAAUGAUAUUAUU
Molecule: long non-coding RNA, 2790 nt
Filed under: Lingula anatina
Lineage: Eukaryota; Metazoa; Brachiopoda; Lingulata; Lingulida; Lingulidae
Description: uncharacterized LOC106156600
Source: RNAcentral